This 481-nucleotide long non-coding RNA is filed under the name Lathyrus oleraceus (garden pea). Its description in RNAcentral is "Pisum sativum (pea) long non-coding RNA (PSAT_LNC033197)". Lineage: Eukaryota; Viridiplantae; Streptophyta; Magnoliopsida; Fabales; Fabaceae. The record is from RNAcentral.
CAAGAAUGCAGCUUGGAGCUUCUCUUUGAGACCAUCGCACAAACAGCAACCGGGUUUUGAGUAAAGGACCAGUUUUCUAGAAGAAGGUGUAGAUGAACUACACAGAGGUUUGAAUUUUAGAAACCUUUGAGUUUUUCCGCCACCCAAUAACACCGCCGAGGGUUUCGCUACUGCUAACACUGCCACCGCACGUGCCACCGUCGCCAUUCUAUAGAUGAACUACACAGAGGUUUGAAUUUUAGAAACCUUUGAGUUUUUCCGCCACCCAAUAACACCGCCGAGGGUUUCGCUACUGCUAACACUGCCACCGCACGUGCCACCGUCGCCAUUCUUCUCUGUCUCGGGAACACUAAUCAUAUAUCAUAGCCCAUCUGAAUCCGUUAAUUAAAAAAAAUUAAAAAAUUAAAAAAAAAAACAAAAUGUCUUCAAUGGGCCUGGAAAUGCUUAUCUCUCUAGCCCAAAUAAUUAUCUUUGAAAAUGC